Molecule: ribosomal RNA, 253 nt
Filed under: uncultured bacterium
Lineage: Bacteria
Description: partial 16S ribosomal RNA
Rfam family: Bacterial small subunit ribosomal RNA
Source: RNAcentral
UACGUAGGGUGCAAGCGUUGUCCGGAAUUAUUGGGCGUAAAGAGCUCGUAGGCGGUUUGUCGCGUCUGCUGUGAAAACUCGGGGCUUAACCCCGGGCCUGCAGUGGGUACGGGCAGACUAGAGUGCGGUAGGGGAGACUGGAAUUCCUGGUGUAGCGGUGAAAUGCGUAGAUAUCGGAAGGAACACCAGUGGCGAAGGCGGCUUCCUGGGCUAAUACUGACACUGAGGUGCGAAAGCGUGGGGAGCAAACAGG